GAUGAAGAACGCAGCGAAAUGCGAUAAGUAAUGUGAAUUGCAGAAUUCAGUGAAUCAUCGAAUCUUUGAACGCACAUUGCGCCCCCUGGUAUUCCGGGGGGCAUGCCUGUCCGAGCGUCAUUACAACCCUCAAGCUCAGCUUGGUGUUGGGCCCCGCCGCCCCGGCGGGCCCUAAAGUCAGUGGCGGUGCCGUCCGGCUCCGAGCGUAGUACAGCUCUCGCUCCAGGGUCCGGCGGCCGCCUGCCAGAACCCCCCCAACUCUGUGGUUGACCUCGGAUCAGGUAGGGAUACCCGCUGAACUUAAGCAUAUCAAUAAGCGGAGGA
This 324-nucleotide unclassified non-coding RNA is filed under the name soil metagenome. RNAcentral describes it as "partial contains 5.8S ribosomal RNA, internal transcribed spacer 2, and large subunit ribosomal RNA". The stretch from base 1 to 120 matches the Rfam family "5.8S ribosomal RNA", at positions 35 to 154 of the family's 154-position model. The record is from RNAcentral.